Molecule: non-coding RNA, 138 nt
Organism: Callithrix jacchus (white-tufted-ear marmoset)
Lineage: Eukaryota; Metazoa; Chordata; Mammalia; Primates; Cebidae
Source: Rfam
AAGGACAGAAUAACGGACUCCUAGAUUACCAAGCCGCACCCAGAGGAUCAUCCCAGGAGCCCUUGGAGGCUGAGGAGCUCAUUGAGACUGGUGUAUCUGGAGACUCCAGGAUGAAGACCCAGCUUGGGGCUGUCAAAG